GAGUGUAAUGAGAGCAUGUUAAUAGAACAAUCAACGAGUUAAAUCAUUAUUCAUUGUAUAUGUAACUAUAAACUAGGCAACAAACAAUGCAAACAUCGUACCGCAUAACGAAAAAAUGCUUAUCAAAUGUGCAAAUAAAGCCUAUUUUGCCUCAACUGUUAACUUAAAAAGGUUUUUCAGAUAUUUCUUUGGAUGGCGUUUUCAGGAAAAAGGACA
Non-coding RNA from Tetranychus urticae (two-spotted spider mite), 216 nucleotides. Lineage: Eukaryota; Metazoa; Arthropoda; Arachnida; Trombidiformes; Tetranychidae. The record is from RefSeq and is a predicted model, not a curated record.